This 336-nucleotide unclassified non-coding RNA is filed under the name soil metagenome. Its description in RNAcentral is "partial contains 5.8S ribosomal RNA, internal transcribed spacer 2, and large subunit ribosomal RNA". The stretch from base 1 to 120 matches the Rfam family "5.8S ribosomal RNA", at positions 35 to 154 of the family's 154-position model. The record is from RNAcentral.
GAUGAAGAACGCAGCGAAAUGCGAUAAGUAAUGUGAAUUGCAGAAUUCAGUGAAUCAUCGAAUCUUUGAACGCACAUUGCGCCCGCCAGUAUUCUGGCGGGCAUGCCUGUUCGAGCGUCAUUUCAACCAUCAAGCCCCCGGCUUGUGUUGGGGACCUGCGGCUGCCGCGGGCCCUGAAAAGCAGUGGCGGGCUCGCUGUCACACCGAGCGUAGUAGCAUACAUCUCGCUCUGGGCGUGCUGCGGGUUCCGGCCGUUAAACCACCUUCAUAACCCAAGGUUGACCUCGGAUCAGGUAGGAAGACCCGCUGAACUUAAGCAUAUCAAUAAGCGGAGGA